AUGGCAAAAAUGGCUUCAACACAAGUCAAAUUCUCAUUGUUUGCAGUUUUGUUCAUUGUUUUGGCUAUGGUGGUUGCUGCUCAUGAAGGUCAUCAUCACAUGUCUCCUGCAGAAGCACCUUCUAGUUAUGCAAGCAGCCUCAAUUAUCAUGUAAUUGCUGGAAUUGUUCCUAUUUUCAUUGCAAUUUUCUUUGCCAGAAAUGGUCUUUAA
Vicia faba (fava bean) is the source of this 210-nucleotide non-coding RNA. NCBI's taxonomy places the organism in Eukaryota, Viridiplantae, Streptophyta, Magnoliopsida, Fabales, Fabaceae. The record is from the annotation of a GenBank genome assembly.